ACCCGCUUAGUUCAAUGGUAGAGCGCCUGCUCGACACGCAGGGGACGGGAGUUCGAUUCUCCCAGUGGGUA
This 71-nucleotide transfer RNA is filed under the name Streptomyces phage StarPlatinum. It matches the Rfam family "tRNA". Rfam says of the family: Transfer RNA (tRNA) molecules are approximately 80 nucleotides in length. Their secondary structure includes four short double-helical elements and three loops (D, anti-codon, and T loops). RNAcentral also lists the same sequence under 1 other name. The record is from Rfam by way of RNAcentral. Lineage: Duplodnaviria; Heunggongvirae; Uroviricota; Caudoviricetes; Stanwilliamsviridae.